GACGAACGCUGGCGGCGUGCCUAACACAUGCAAGUCGAACGAUGAACCCGGAGCUUGCUCCGGCGGAUUAGUGGCGAACGGGUGAGUAACACGUGAGUAACCUGCCCUUGACUCUGGGAUAACUGCGGGAAACUGUAGCUAAUACCGGAUACUUUCACUGGAAGGCAUCUUCUGGUGAAGAAAGAAUUUCGGUCAAGGAUGAGCUCGCGGCCUAUCAGCUUGUUGGUGAGGUAACGGCUCACCAAGGCGACGACGGGUAGCCGGCCUGAGAGGGUGACCGGCCACACUGGGACUGAGACACGGCCCAGACUCCUACGGGAGGCAGCAGUGGGGAAUAUUGCACAAUGGGCGCAAGCCUGAUGCAGCAACGCCGCGUGAGGGAUGAAGGCCUUCGGGUUGUAAACCUCUUUUAGCAGGGAAGAAGCGAAAGUGACGGUACCUGCAGAAAAAGCACCGGCUAACUACGUGCCAGCAGCCGCCGUAA
RNAcentral lists this ribosomal RNA (484 nucleotides) under uncultured bacterium. Its description in RNAcentral is "partial 16S ribosomal RNA". It matches the Rfam family "Bacterial small subunit ribosomal RNA", at positions 28 to 523 of the family's 1533-position model. The record is from RNAcentral.